This 404-nucleotide unclassified non-coding RNA is filed under the name soil metagenome. RNAcentral's name for it is "partial contains 5.8S ribosomal RNA, internal transcribed spacer 2, and large subunit ribosomal RNA". The stretch from base 1 to 122 matches the Rfam family "5.8S ribosomal RNA", at positions 35 to 154 of the family's 154-position model. The record is from RNAcentral.
GAUGAAGAACGUAGCAAAAUGCGAUACUUGGUGUGAAUUGCAGAAUCCCGUGAACCAUCGAGUUUUUGAACGCAAGUUGCGCCCGAAGCCUUUUGGCCGAGGGCACGUCUGCCUGGGCGUCACGCAUCGCGUCGCCCCCCACAAUUCUCCGUAAAGGGAACGUGUGUUUUGGGGGCGGAUAUUGGUCUCCCGUGCUCAUGGCGUGGUUGGCCGAAAUAGGAGACCUUUCGAUGGACGCACGAACUAGUGGUGGUCGUAAAAACCCUCGUCUUUUGUUUCGUGCUGUUGCUCGCAAGGUAAACUCUUUAAAAACCCCAAUGUGUCGUCUCUUGACGACGCUUCGACCGCGACCCCAGGUCAGGCGGGACUACCCGCUGAGUUUAAGCAUAUCAAUAAGCGGAGGA